UCUCAUCAAGAGCAGUGGAGGGAAAGGCCCUGUGAAGCUGCGGCAACCAUUGAUUAUUCAAACGGUGCCAAUUCCUAUAGGUACAGCCUAUGAAGAUGAGA
Molecule: non-coding RNA, 101 nt
Filed under: bovine gut metagenome
Description: SAM riboswitch (S box leader)
Rfam family: SAM riboswitch aptamer (S box leader)
About the family: The SAM riboswitch is found upstream of a number of genes which code for proteins involved in methionine or cysteine biosynthesis in Gram-positive bacteria. The SAM riboswitch acts at the level of transcription termination control.
Source: RNAcentral